Long non-coding RNA from Mustela lutreola (European mink), 18944 nucleotides. RefSeq lists it as uncharacterized. The record is from RefSeq and is a predicted model, not a curated record. NCBI's taxonomy places the organism in Eukaryota, Metazoa, Chordata, Mammalia, Carnivora, Mustelidae. The transcript is spliced from 4 exons.
CUUGUUUUCCAGUUAACAGGUUUAGUUUUGGCCUCAGGAGGCAGGAAAAUGAGAGAGAGGGAGAGGAGCCUGAAGGAGCUCAAAAUACCAUUACUGUUCAGUACAAAGCAGGGUAAACCAGUUCUGCCAAAGACCACAAAUUUCUGUAUUUCCUUGUGUUUGUUCAUCAAAGUUUCACAUUUAAAAAAACUUUUAUGUUUCUUUUGGUUUCUAUCAUGUGCUUUACAGAUCAUCUAUUUUAUUUUAUUUAUUUAUUUUUAAGAUUUUAUUUAUUUGAGAGAGAAAGAGGGAGUGAGAGAGAACAUGAGAAGGGAGAAGGUCAGGAGAAGGUCAGAGGGAGAAGCAGACUCCCCAUGGAGCUGGGAGCCCGACGCGAGACUCAGUCCCAGGACUCCGGGACCAUGACCCGAGCUGAAGGCAGUCGCUUAACCAACUGAGCCACCCAGGUGCCCUAAAGAUUAUCUAUUUUAAAGCAAGAAAAUGAGAAUAAGGUAAAAUUCUAAGGAAAAAUGAUGGGAGCCUAUGAGAAGUUAGUUGUUCCCUUACUCAGAGCUAAUUCAUAUUUGACUAAGCAGGGGCUCUACAGUUAUAUUCUGAAUAGCAGAUUACUCUUAUAGACAAAUAGGGCAUGUGUCUUUCUCUCCCCAAAGGGAAACUAUAUUACUGGAUUUGAAUACUAGGAUGCAUCUGCCAACAUGGGACAGAAUAGUUAAAAAGGUGAUGGAAAUAUGAAUUUUCCAUUCAGAAGAAGAGAAUAGAUAUCUCAGGCAACUGAAAGAACAUGUUCGGAUCAGUAAAACUAAAGUGUAAAGAAUAUAGUACUUUUGUAUGGAACAGACUUCUCUAGACAGGAAAGAACCCAUCUAAAUGCUGAGGGACAAACCAGUUAAGAGGCCUGAGUCUUCCUUUUUUGCAACUGUAAAAUCUGGUAAUUAAACUGGCCAAACAGAAGAUAUAAUAAACAUAAAUUGAAAUAAAUCUGCAUAUUCCAAGCCUAGUGAAUUUUUAAAGAUUGAAUUAAGUAACUAACUGGAAUCUUAAAGACGAAAGAACUCGUGCAUGCUUCCUGAAGUCAAGAGCGGUCUAACUUAAAAUUCUGUUGUCUCUGAGGACAAAUUAUAAAGAGCUGAAGAGAUUCAACAUCACAUGAAUAGCCUUUGCUCCCACUCAGACUGUAAAGUCAGGUCUGAAAAAGGAAUAUUCUGUAUAGAAGCAUAAAUGUUAAAAUAUGAACAUUUUGCUUUGAUAUCAAUCCAAAAAUAAAUAAAUGAAUUAAAUGUCAAAAAUGUCUAUUCUAAUUUAAACUUCUCUAUAUAUAACCUAAUGUGUAGUGUGAGCUAAAAAUCUGUUCAUGCUAAGUGACAGAAUAUUCUCUAUGCAAUAUGUAGGUGUUAAGUAAAUGCCCUAAUUCAUUUAUUAUAAACUACUUUUUCCCAUUUUAACCUCUUCACAGAGGCUAUAGUUAUAGAUUUUUUACUCAAUGUCAUGCUGUGGUUUAACUAGCAGCAUCUUUCUUCUUAGUGCCACUUCAAAUAGUGAUACAACUUACAGCGAAUGGUGUCUUAUAGUUGAGGUAUAGUAUUCAGUACAGUUUAAAUAUUUUAUUUGUUUUUUUCGACAGAGAGAGACAUAGGGAGAGAGAGAAAACAAGCAGGGUGAGCGGGAGAGGGGGAAGCAGGCUUCCUGCGGAGCAGAGAGCCCACUGUGGGGAUCGAUGUGGGGCUCGAACCCAGGACCCUGGGAUCAUGAACUGAACCAAAGGCAGGUGCUUAACAAUUGAGCCACCCAGGCACCCCAGUAUUCAGUGCAGUUUAAAAAGCAAAACUCUGUCUAGAGUCCUAAGGAUCCCAAAGAUGUGCUAGUAUUUAUGAGUUCUUUUUAGAGUAAGUGGGAAAAUGCUGAAGAAGGGCUCCAAAGAAGGUCUGUGCCUGGGAGCAAAGAUUAUAGGCAUGGUCAGGAGGACAUUAGUAAGCAAGGAAAAUGAGCCUUAUGAAGACACUGGUGAUUUAGGUCUGGUAUUAAACUCUUCUAGGUCUCUCCUUCGUCAUUUCCAAAGCUCCUACAGCUGGGUCUCGCCAGUUUCCAUCCCUUCGCAUUGUGUUGGAGAUCUCUGAUAUACUGGAAUCCAUGGAAAGUUUCGUAUACCCUAAUACUGAGCAGAAUAGUAGGUAUGAUCUACUUUCUAGGUAUUACAUUUAUCCAAAUUUGUGGAAGGUGUCUUGUACUUCCAAAAGAUUUAGAACUUAAGACUCAUAGAAAGUAAAUGUAUUUUUAACAUCUUUAAGCAUUUUUUGUCGUCCUACUUAGAUCAUCUUUUUUUCCCCUUCCUAUUUAUAUCAUCUUAAAACAGCAUAGUUCUCUCAUAAGGGUUUCAGAGAUCUUAAGGGACAAAGUAGCAAAGAAGUCAGUAUUAUCGAAGAUUAAAGCCAACAACUUAAUGUUUUAAAAAGAUAUAUAGAGGGGGGCCUGGGUGGCUCAGUGGGUUAAAGCCUCUGCCUUUGGCUCAGGUCAUGAUCCCAGAGUCCUGGGAUGGAGCCCCACGUCAGGCUCUCUGCUCAGUGGGGAGCCUGCUUCCUCCUCUCUCUCUCUGCCUGCCUCUCUGCCUACUUGUAAUCUUUGUCUGUCAAAUAAAUAAAUAACAUCUUUAAAAAAAAUAAAAAGAUAUAUAAUGUAGAUAAGGCUGUGGGAAGACAUGUAAAAGUGGUUACUUUUGAAUGAAAACUACCCAUUUUUUUUUUUUUGCCUUAUCAAUAUCUUUAAACUUUGCCACAGUAAAUGUAUUGCAUUUGUAGUAAUUUUUUAAAAAGCAGUAAAGGUUUUUCUUAUAAUUAAACCAUGGAUACUCUAAAGUACAGCUAGGAUCUUCAAGGAUUUAUUUUUAAGGAUACUUUUGCUUAAUAAGUUCAUCCAAGAAAGUUAUGGGCACCAUCUAGUCCAACCAUAAAGUUCAUGUUAGUGAUUCACCAAGAAAAAAUCAAAGAGGUCUCAAAUAAAAUCAGAAAAAUGAAAGCUAAAAUGCUGCAACUAUUGUGACAGAAACACAAAGGACCAUAAGAGACUAUAAACAAUUUUAUGCCACCAAAUUGGACAACCUAGAAGAAAUAGAUUAAUUCUUAGAAAUGUACAACCUACCAAGACUGAAUCAUGACAAAACCAAAAAUCUGAACACAGACCAAUUACUAGAAAGGAGAUUAAGUUAGUAAUCAAAUUCCCACAAACAAAAGUCCAGGACCAGGCUUCACUCAUAGAUUCUACCAAACAUUCAAAGAGGAAUUAAUACUAGUUCUUUUCCAACUCUUCCAAAAAAUGCAAGAGUUGGAAGAACUCUUCUAAACUUCCUUUGAGGCCAGCAUUACCCUGAUACCAAAGCCAAAAAAGGAUUCCACAGGAAAAAAAUUUUGGCCAAUGUCCUUUGAUGAACUGAGAUGUGAAAAUCCUCAACAAAAUAUUAUCAAACUGAAUUCCAUAAUACAUUAAAAGGAUCAUACACCAUGACCAAAUGGGAUUUAUUCCAGGGAUGCAAGGAUGGUUCAACACCUGCAAAUCAAUCAAUGUGAUAAGCCGCAUUAACAAAAUGAAGGAUAAAAAUGAUAUGAACAUCUCAUUAGAUGUUUAAAAAAAAAUUGACAGGCAACUGGGUGGCCUAGUUGAUUAAUUGUUGAACUCUUGGUUUUGGCCUAGGUCAUGAUCUCAGGGUCUUGAGAUUGAGCCCCAUGUUGGGCUCUGUGCUCAGUGCAAAGUCUGCUUAAGAUUCUCUCUCCAAUUCCUUCUGAUACCUCCCCACACACUCUCUCUCUCAAAUAAAUAAAUCUUUUUAAAACAGCAUUUGACAACAUUCAACAUUUUUUUAAUGAUAAAACUUUCAACAACACAAGUAUAGGGGGAUCAUACUUCAAAUAUGAGAAGCCCACAGCUGACUUCAUACUCAAUGUUAAAAAGCUGAAAGCUUUUCCUCUAAGAUUAGGAAUAAGACAGGGAUGUCCAUUCUCACCACUUUUAUUCAACAUAGUACUGGAAGUCCUAGCUAGAACAAUUAAAUGGCAAGGAAAAAGAAAGGGCAUCCAAAUUGGAAAGGAAGAAGUAAAACUAUCAGUAUUUGCAGAUGACAGGAUACUGUGGAUGUAUAAAACCCUAAAAAGUCCACCAAGACACUGUUAGAAUAAACAAAUUCAGAGAAGUUGCAUGAUACAAGAAUCAAUAGAUAAAAAUUUGCUGUGUUUCCUCACACUAUAGUGAACUAUCAGACUUUAAGGAAACAAGCCCAUUUGCAACUGCAACAGAAAAAAGAUAUUUAUGACUAAGUUUAAUAAGGAGGUAGAAGACUUGUAAACUAAAAACUAUGUAAGACCUUGGGAUGCCUAGGUGGCUGAGUUGGUUAAGCGGCUACCUUCCACUCAGGUCAUGAUCCCAGGGUUCUGGGAUCGAGUCCUGCAUUGGGCUUCUUGCUCGGCAGGGAGGCUGCUUCUCUCUCUCGGCCUCUGCCUGACACUCUGCCUGCUUGUGCUCUCUCUCUCUGUCAAAUAAAUAAAAUCUUAAAAAAACAAAACUAUAUAAGACCUUGACUAAAGAAAUCAAAGACAACACAAAUGAAAGAUAUACCAUGCUCAUGUAUUGGAAGAAUUAACAUUGUUAAUACGUCCAUGCUACCCAAAGCCAUCUAUAGAUUCAAUGCAAUCCCGAUAAAAAUUCCAAUGGUGUUUUAUAGAAAUAGAACAAACAGUUCUAAAAUUUGUAUGGAACGUCAAAAAAAAAAAAAAAAAAACCUCCAAGUAGCUAAAGCAAUCAUGAAAGAAGAACAAAGUGGAAUAAUUUAAACUGUAUGGUAUUGGUGUAAAAACAGACAUAUCACUCAGUAGAAUAGAACAGAUUCUCCAGAAAUAAACCCAUGCAUAUAUAGUCAAUUAGUUUAUGACAAAGGAGCCAAGAAUAUACAAUAGGAAAAGGACAGUCUCUUCAAUAAAUGAUGCUGGGAAAACUGGACAGCCACAUGUAAAAGAAUGAAACUGGACCACUGUCUUACACCAUACACAAAAAUUAACUCAAAAUGAAUAAAAGACUUGAACAUAAGACCUGAAACCAUAAAACUCCUAGAAGAAAACAUAGGUGAUAAGCUCCUUGAUACAGUUCUUGGUGAUGAUUUCUUUUUAAUCUGACACCAAAAAGCAAAAGCCACAAAAGCAAAAAUAAACAAGUGUGAUUACAUCAACUUAAAAAGUCUUCUGUACUGCAAAGGAAAUCAUCAACGAAAUGAAAAAAUAACCUACUGAACAGGGAUAAAUAUUUGCAAAUUAUAAUCUGAUAAGGACCUAAUAUCCAAAAUAUACAAAGAACUCCUACAAUUCAAUAUAAAAAAAAAAAAUCCAGCUAACGAUGGGCAGAAGAUCUGAAUAGACAUUUUUUUUUUUUCCAGAGACAACCUACAGAUAACCAACAGGUACAUGAAAAAAUGCUCAACCUCACUAGUCAUCAGGAAAAGGCAAAUCAAAACCACGAUGAGCUAUCACCUCACACCUGCUAGAAUGGCUAUUAUCAAAAAGACAAUAAAUAAGACUGUUAGAAUGUGGCGAAAAGGGAACGCUUGUGCACUGUCGGUGGUAGCAGAAACUGGUGUAGCCACUGUGGAAAGCCGCAUGGAACUUCCUCAAAAAAUUAGAACUAUCACAUAAUCAGCACUUCCGCUUCUGGGUAUUUAUUUAAAGAAAAAAACACUAAUUUAAAGAGAUAUAUACAUUUCCAUGUUCACUGCAGCAUAAGAUACAAUAGCCCAGAUCUGGAAACAACCUGCAUGUCCACUGAUGGAUGGAUGCAGAAAUUGUGUUGUUUAUAUACAAUUUGAAUAUUAUUCAGCCAUAAAAAAGAAUGAGAUCUUGCCAUCUGCAAUAAGGUGGAUGGUUCCUGAGGACAUCAAAUGAAAUACCCCUUGAGGGAUAAGUGAAAUAAGAAAGACAAAUACUGCAUGAUCUCUCAUACAUGUAGAAUCUAAAAUGAAGCAAAACAAACCAAGCUCAUAGAAACAGAACAGAUUGGUGGUCAUAGGAGGCAGGGACUGGGAAAUGGGAGAAAUGGAUGAACUGUUUUUUUUGUUUUGUCUCUUUCAACCAAAACAAUAUACAGUUAUACACGAGACAGAAAGAGUCCACAAACUGAUGCAAAAAGAAUCAUUCUGCCCUCUGUCUUGAGAGAUGGCAACUUCUUCGUGUUUUUAUGCAUUGUAUGCAUCUGCUCUCUCUGGCCAGGCCACAGCAGGAGCUUUUCACUUCAAUAGAUAAAUUUCUUAAUCUUGAUUUUUCAAAAUGCUGGACCUGAAGACUUGUUUGGAAGCUACUUCAACCCUUUGCUGCAGAAACCCCCUUCAGUAGAUAUUUAAUUUGUUCCAAAUUAAAUAUAUUGAUAAGCCCUAUUUGAAAAUAAGUGAUGCAAUAAAAUAUCUGGUUUUUUUGCUUAGUGGUUAACACUGGUUUAGGAUGUCAUGCCUCUCCUACCACGUAUUUGGUAGAAAAUUGUAUUUCUGCUUCUUCUAUUACUCAAAAAAUGUCAGGAUUAUUAAGGUUCUUUGUUUUCUCAAAUCAUGUUAAUAUUUUCUGACAUAUCGUUCUUUCCUCCUCUAUCUUAGGUGUAUGUAAUUUUAUCAGCUUUGUGGGAAAAACAGAUACUCUUAAGGUCUGAACUGGUAUUUGAAGAGAAGCUCACUUUUAACUCAUGUCUAAUAACAUUACACUAUUGUUUAGGAAGAGAUAGCAGGCCAUGUCUUAUAAAUUUUAAUAUACUCUUUCUGUCAUCAAAUAACAAGUGAAUUAUCCUACUGAUAAACCAUGGGACUCCUUUCAAACUGGAUGAUGUCUGGUUACUGUAUUUUUGCCAACUAAGCAUACAGAAAAACAUUAUGCGAUGGGCACUAUUUCAGUGACUUCAGGAACUUGCAGAAAGUUAGCACCUCUUCCCAUAAUGCUCAGAGAGCAGCAUUCUUUGUAAUGACUUCAGAGGGAGGAACAAAAGGGAAUGGAAAGGAGAAUUGACUAACUAUUUCUGAAACUGGGUAGUGGAGCCUCUGCAAGCCUCCAUUUCCUCCCUGGUAAAAUAAGAGAAUACCUUCUUCGCAAAGUGGUUGACUAUUGAAAAGGUUGGUGUAUUUGGAAAAUAGUUUGUAAAGCUCUAUGAAGACUAUUAUGAUUGCAUAAACAUGAGCAUUGAGCAUGUUAGGAAAGACCUUGUUAAAUUUGGUGCUUUACCUGAAGAGGUAGACAGGGGGCUGGCUGAACGCUGUCGACCCUUGCAUUACAAAUCCCAGUCCCAGAUUUCCUGGUUUGCCAGGAAAUUGCAUUCACACUUGGUUAAGCUAGAGGGAUCUAUGCCACUUCUCUGCUAGCAAAGGAACUCCCCCUCCAGCAAAGGUGUGCAAUGAGGCUGAUGUGGUCCUUUAUAUAGUAAGUGUGGGGGUAUUAAUGGAAAGGAGGAGGUUAACAUUCUCUUGGAGCUAUUCAGGGAAGCUCUUCCAAUUGGGAAUUGAGAUGGGCAGCAAGCUAUGAUUUAAACAGCUAAUGGGCUUUAACUAAAUAGGCCACAUGGAAAGCUGGCUGGCUGGAUUACAGAUCAACUCUUCCUAUCUCUGUGUACACACCUAAGGCUGUGGACACAAUAGUCCCACACCCCGAGUAAAGUAAGAGCUGAAGAUAAAGCUGAUGACUCCCGUUUCCUGGGGGUAGGAAGAUGCCUAGUGGCUGAAGGGAUCUGCUCUGUUUUCUGUAAGCAAAGAUCGUGCUAUCAUCUGAUUUUGUGGCAACAGAGACAAAGGCGAAUUUCCUGACCAGAGUGAAUGACAAAGAAAUGAGGCAAAUUAUUGAGAAACUGGUGGAUGUUCAUUGAAGGGCAACAAAUAUGAUUUAUAAGCCUGAGGGACUGCCUUCAGAGGAAGAUGAAAGAGACAAGUCUCUUCGCAUGACCACCAGUUCUAACUAACGGGGACUGGCUCAUGGGCCCCAAGUACUUGGAGGGUGUAAAUAGCAGGGAUGGAGAGAAAUUACUUAGUGUGGUCCAGGGGGACAGGAGGACGAAUGAUGGAAACGAAAGUCAAAACAAAGAUGAUUUAGGCAGCUGAGCAAGUCUCAUGCCCUAAUGGAGAGAUCUAUUAUAAACUAUGCUCCCCAGUCCCCCGGGAGGUAUGGAAGCCCCAUCACUUUUGCCAUUUACAAUUGGAAAAGGCACUAAAAAGUAGAUCAGCGUAUUGGAGAGGGGAAAAACCACCACAUGCCCUCAGAGGAUCAGUAGGAUGACUUAAUAGGUCUUUUCCAUCUGAAAUUACUGUGAUGUGGCUUAUGUGCUUGGGGACCUGAGCUGCUAGAAUAAUUUUCCAUCACCUGGGCUUCUUUUCUGUUACUGCAGGAGCUCAGUGAAGAAAUAAUAGGUAUCAGAGAGCCACUUCUGCAUUCUAGAUAGAAGUCUGCAAUGUACUGAUGCUUUAGUGUGAAGGCAGAGCUGACCAGGCUAAGUCUCGAGUUGAGACAUCAGUGUACGGGAAAUACCUACAUGUACUGAUUGAGACUCAAGACAGCAUAUACCACUGAGCCUCCAAGACAAAGGGAGAGGAGUUUGGCCGCAUUUGGUUGGUAGUUGCAUAAGUGAAAAGUUCAAGUAGCUUAUUCCCUAAGCUAGGAAAAUAAAAAUGUCCAAAUAAUUAAACCCUCUCUUAAAAAAAAAAAAAAGAAAGAAAAAAAAAGUUGACCUUCAAAAUCUAGUAAACAUUUACUGGGUAGGACCUGGAGGACCCAUGUUUUGAAUGCUGUUGAUACUAUAUUUCUGUCCACAGCUGCAGUUGUAUUAGCAACUGACACAUUCUGAAACUCUUGGUGGCCCAGAAGGCCCAGAAGGGCACACGAGGCCUGGAAGCAGAAGCAGUCUGGGGUAACAAGUGGGGAGGCAGGGGCACGCCUUGGUCAGAUGGAAAUUGGGGCAGGCAGUAAAGGGCCGGUUUCCCUGUGAUUGCUAGAAGGAGCACAGCUGUGACCAUAACAUCCCUUCUCAGCCAGAGGAUGACACAGAAGCAGAAGGACAAAAUUGAGGGGCUGCAAAGAUUCAUGAGGUUCAAUCUGCAAAAUCUUCUCAGAGCUUUGGAAGAAAACACAGUCCAAGAAUACAAGGCACAUAACACUUUUCAGAGAAGGCUUAGAAAAAUGAAGUCAUUUCCCUGGAGCAACAGAAGAGAGAGAGAGAGACAUCAAGAGAGGGAACAGUGGGAGAGGAAGAAACAGGCUUCCCACUGAGCAGGGAGCCCAACGUGGGGCUUGAUGCCAGGACCCUGAGAUCAUGACCUGAGCCGAAGGCAGAUGCUUAACUGACUGAACCACCCAGGUGCCCCCACUCAGUUUAUUCUUACAUCAGCCCUCAUGAGAGACAAAGGUCCUGGAAACCAGAGCACGGGGCAAUCCCAAUUGAAGAGGAAGAGCACGAAGUAGCUUCCCACCAAGGCUUCCUGAGGAGGAAACUACGGAAUGCUUCUCUGUACAGUGCCAACUGGUCUGUAGGCCAUGCGUCUACUUAUGCAUGACAGGGCAAAAGACAUCGGAAAGGAAACUAUAAAGAAUAUGGUUUCUUAAGCCUGAUUCCGAGAUAAUAGCAAAUAGUGGACUUAGUAAGAAGUUUGUCAGACAGGGAGGCUGUAUAUAGAAGGAGUAGGAUAAAGAGCUGGAGAACUUGGGUUGGUUUAGGCCGAGUUCUCAGAACAGUAAAUGGACCCAUAUUCAAACAUCAGUAGACAGCAGAAACGUUCUAUGGUCUGAAUGUGUCUCCUCAAAAUUCACAUUUUGAAAUCCUAACCCCCAAAGAUGAUGAUACUAGGAGGUGGGGACUUCAGGAGUGCUUGGGUCACAAUGGUAGAGCCCUCAGGAACGGGGUUAGUGGCUUAUACAAGUGCCUUAUGCAAGAGACCUUACACAUAUAAGUAUACAUAAAAGUGCCUUAUACAAGAGACCCCACAGAGGUCCCUAGCCCCUUUCACCAUGUGAGCACAGGGCAAGCAGACACCUGCUCUGAACCAGGGAGAGGGCCCUCACCAGAAAGUGACGGUGCCGGCUGGUGCCUUGAUCUUGGACUCUCUAGCCUUCAGUAUCCUGACCAGUAAACUUUUGUUGUUUAUAAACUAUCCAAUCUGGUAUUUUGUUAUAGCAGUUCAAAGGGACUAAGACACAUUCCAAGGUUAAAAUAAAUAAUUAGUUGGGACAUAUCUGUCAUUUCUGAUUAUCCAAAUAUCUGAUAUUUCCCUAUCAGACUGAUGAGCUAAUAUUUUUAUUUCCCAAUAUCUAUGGGCAGAACACUUUUUUUUUUUUUAAGUCAGUCAGUCGACCUAGCUAUCCAUCAGCCUAUCCAUCCAUCCAUCCAUCCAUGUCUUUCUUCAUCCUUCUCUCCCCUCCUGAGGAAUUGAGUCCCAACAACUAGGCAGUGGCAGGACUUCACGACCCAACUAAGCAGGGGAAGAUGUGGGGGAGGGGUGGCAGCAAUGGCCUGGUUUAGGCUACUGGAAUACAAGCAGGGUGAAGAUGGGCCUGGUUCAUCUCAUAGUGCCAGAGUGUGCUCCAAGAGUGAGGAGGACGGUUUGAAGGGGCCCCCUCGGGGUGCCUGGGUGGCUCAAUCGGUUAAGCAUCUGCCUUCUUCUCAAGUCAUGAUCCCAGGGUCCUGGGAUUGAGCCCUACAUCAAGCCCCACAUCAGGCUCCUUGCUCCAUAGGGAGCCCGCUUCUCCCUCUGCCUUCCACUUCCUUGCUUGGGCCCUCUAUCACUCUGUCAAAUAGGUAAGUAAAAUCUUUGGGGGGGGGGGGGAGAACAAAAAAAAAAGGAAAUUAAGGAGCUCCCUCUGGGCAAGUCUGGGACAUUUUAAAUAUCAAAAUGAAUAAUAGUAAUAUCAGAUUGCAAUCCAUUAAAAAUAUCCAUAAAUGAUAAAAUAAUUUUUAAUAUCCAUGCACCCAGGCUGACAUAAAUAAAAGAGUGACUAAAUAAAAAAGAAAAGAAGGGACUCUUUCCUUGCAGUGGAAUGCCAACUGAUGAAUGCAGAAGAAACCAAGGAAUUAGAAAAAUCACCAUUUGGCAACUAUCAGAGUAAUAAUUAAUUCAGCCAAGAAGCAUAGAUAGAUGCUAGAACUAGUUGGUGGGAGAUUGAUAUGAAACAAAAUAUUACAUAGUCCAAAACCACCAUCCGCCACAUACUGAUCAUAAAGAGAGAAUGAGUAAUUUUACAGUAGAAAAAUCUGGUAGGCAUGGCUUUAAGUAAGAGAUCACAGUUAACAAUCUCCAGUAAUGUAAGAAAUAGGAACUAUGCACUCCCAUAUCAGAUGCAAUGAGAAGAACAUGUAGCUUCUGUGAUAUUCCUAAUAAAAAUACACCACCUAAAUCUAAUUUCAGGGACAUAUAGCAGACAAACUCAAACUGAGAUAUAUCUGUCAAAAAUAACUUGUCUGUAGUCUUCAAAAAUAUCUAGAUAUUGAAAAGUCAAGGACAGACGGAGGAACUAUUUCAGACUAAAGGAAACUAAACAGACAGGACAAUAUGCAAUUCUGAAUAAGAUCCUUCUGCUACAAAGUACAUAAUUUGAACAAAAUAUAAAUAGGGACCUAUGGCUCUGAUGGCUAAUUUCUUGAUUUUGAUGACUAAAGUAGGAGAUACCCCUGCUUUUAGCAACCAACUGCAUGCGAAGGUAUUUAGAAGUGAUGACACAUCACGUUGCUAAUUUACUCUCAAAUGAUAAGACAAAAAGCUGUUUUUGCAGCUUUUCUGCAAGUUCAAAAUUAUUUCAAAAGAAACAGAAAAUAAAUGAGGUGAAUAAUUAGGAUGGUUAGAAUACAUAGAUAGGAUAUAAAGAUAGGCAAGAGACAGAGAUCUAGGUCAAGGUGGAGAUAGGGAUCUCGGUGGCUCCCUUAACCCACCAGCCGAAACAGAAGUAAUCCUUUACUCUCUGCAUCUUUUUACCAUUUUCCCUUGUAAAUGAUGGCACAGUCAAGCAGUAUGCACAACUACCCAGGGACGUUUCAUACGCAACAAAAACAGUUCAGAUCAUUGAGCAACCUCUUUCUAAGGCGGGGGGGGGGGGGAGGGAGAAACUAACUGAAAAAUAUAAUCAGAUGAUUCAAUAACAUGUAACCAGGCUGGUCUUGUUUGUUUUCUUGUAUGGCACUCUUCCUGAAAAGAUUUUAAGCAUUUUUUUUCCUACUUUCCAUGGAAAUUGUGACAACUUCAUGAAAGGGAUAAUGUCUUUCCAACAACUUUCUGAAGGAAUAUUUUUACUUAUUUAGCAGGUAAAGAAAAUCAUGAGAAAGAGAGGUAAAGUUUCCAGCAUCAAAAAAUGCCUAAGCGAUAGAGUCUGUAUUCAAAUGAAACUCUGUAUGGAUUUAAGACCCAUGUUCUUCUUAACGUAAUUAUAAAAGGAAACCGUUUACUCUGAAUUUUCUCCCUGAACAAUAUCCACCGUCAGAAUGGCAUAGCAUCAUAGGCAACCUGGAUCCAUUUAUCAUUUUAAAUUUAUUUCACCUUUUUGUGUGUAUUGAAUUAGAGUAGAUGGGGCAUAGAGUCUAUUUCUGGUUUCACUUUGCUUAACCGGAAGUACACUGACCGUGUACUUUUAUGACAUUGUGCAAAACAAACCAAAUGCCACAUGGAACAAGGUGCCUGUUGAAGCAGUUUUGUUGUUGGUUUUUAACUAUGUGGUUGGUGUAAUUAUUUUUGGCUCUUAUGUUUCAUUUCCAUUUUCUCUUAAGGACUUGGAACCAGUUUUACAGCUCUCUAAUGAAAGCACAUCACUUUACCUCUAAAGUUUCUAAGAGAUCAUUUCUUAAACCUCCUGGUAGCAAAGCCACGGAAACAACCUUUGAGCUAAUUUUUUUUUUUUUUAAGAUUUUAUUUAUCUAUUUGACAAACAGAGAUCACAAGUAGGCAGACAGGCAGGCAGAGAGAGACAGGGAAGCAGGCUUCCUGCUGGAUAGAGAGCCCAGUGCAGGACUCGAUCCUAGGACCCUGAGAUCAUGACCUGGGCCUAAGGCAGAGGCUUAACCCACUUAGCUACCCAGGCACCCCUUCCUUUGAGCUAAUCCUGACUGCUGUCCUCUGUUCCUGCCCGUGAGCCCGUUUUAUAAGGGAGAUGGGAACAUGGUGUCCUUGUGGCCCAUUCCUUCUCUCCUCCCAGCCUCAAAGCUUAGUAAAGACCCACAGAAACACACCCUACAGCAUCUGCCUUUUGGAAAAUAAAAUUUCUGUUCUAUAGAAGACGGGAUUCUUAAGUUCUCAUACUCCAACUUACUCUACUGCCAUAUAGAGAUCAUGAAUUCUUUUUAUUUUGACACAGGAAAUACGUAUUUUAGUAAUCCCCACCGUGGCUUAACCGACCACUGAGAGCAUGCUACAACUAUCUGUAGUGGGUCUGACCUAGUUUCACUUUACAAAUGAGAUAAGACCAUACAACCACCCUGUCUCUUAUGAGGAUUAAAUGAGAUACUUAAUGGUAUUUUCUUAAAAACCAGCAAAACUACCAUCUCAAAAGAGGAUCUCAUUUCUAGAUCAGACUUGGCCUGUGCAUGUGGGUGUCCACACAAGAGAUUAUGUACCAGACAUUCUGCUAUUAUUGCUGAUGUAGGCACAGAAGGUCAACAAUGUGGAUUAACUUGGAUUAAAGUAUUAUUUUCUGAUUACAUUUGUGGUUCAAGUUUCUGUGUACUUAAAACUAUUAAGAUUAAGCUAUUAAUCUUAAAACUAUUAAGAUUAAGCAAAACAAAAACAAAUAAAAAAGAAAACAAAGCAAAACAAAAAAAGAAAAAACAAAAAACAAACCCACCAAAAAACCCUCACACUUAAAAUGAGUAAAAAAAGUAAUAAGACAACAAAUUUACAAGUUAAAUUUACAAGUUAAAAAAACUUAGAACUGUUUAAACUAAGAAAAAUUAUUAUAUAUGCAAUAACAUGUUUAUAUGUGACCUAGACAUAUUUUCUUACCUCUAAGGUGGUAACAAAAAACAGGUGACACAAACACAUAUAUCUCACAUGUACAUACGUGUAAACAUUCACACAAAUAAAUAGUGUAUAAGGAGACAGAAAAUCACGAGAAAUAUCCAGAACAGAAAAGUAUAGGUGAAUAUAGGGAGAGAAAUUAGAGGAACUGAAAGAUUUCUAGUUUUUCCCUUACUUUGAAGAUUUUUUUUCUGAUAGUAUUAAAAAAUUCUUCCCAAACUACUAUAUUCCUAAAAAGAAAUAGAGAAGCAAAAUAGAGAACAUGGAUAAGAUAAGAAAAGAAAAGAAGAAAAAAAAAUGGAAGUUUAAAAAAUGAGAGAGGGUGUCUAGUGGCUCAGUCGGUUAAGCACCUGACUCUUGAUUUCAGCUCAGUUCACAAUCUUGGGGUUGUGAGAUACAGCCCCGUGCUGGGCUCCAUGCUCAGCAGGGAGUCUGCUUGAGAUUCUCUCCCUCUCCCUCUGCUCCUCCCUCCACUUGUACUUUCUCUCUCUAAUAAAUAAUUUUUUUUUAUAAGUAAGAGAAUGGAAAAAAGUAAAUUUAGCAUAACACGAACAGUAAAUGAUGUGGUUUUGAUUACAGGAGUAAUUUACCUACCGUGAUGAUAGAUGUUUUCACAUUUAAAAAUCUCAUUAAUUUUAUGUUGAACUAAAGUGUGACUUCUUCAUUCAAAAUAUAAGUCUAGAGGAAAAUGGUUUGGAUUUGGCAGAAAGAAUACCUCAAUGCAUGAAAAAAAUGGGGUUUUGCAAAUCAUCAGAAUUCUACAACUCUAUUUAAAAAUAGUUUUUGAGGUUACUUUUUUCUAUUUAUCCUCAUACCAAUUUCUCCCUCUCUGAAUUUAGAAACUAAAUGGUCACAAACCCCAAAGCAUGAAUGGUACCAAAUCCAAACAAAAGCUGUUAGCAUUAGUAAGAGCUCAACCAGGAGGAUAAAUACAAAAUAAAUAUAUAAAACUCCAUAGCUUUCAAAUAACUAAUUAUAAAAUAUAAUGAAAUUAUCCAAUUCAUAAUGGCCACAAAAUAUAAAAUAUGUGGAAAUAAAAUUUUUUGAAAACCAGGUCCUGGGUGAAUAAACUUACAAAACUUUAUGAUGGAGCAUUUAAUGAAAAUACUUGAAUGGGGAAUCAUCCUGGGUAGGAUUAUAUACAUGUCAAUUCUUGCCACAUAAAUUUAGAGAAAUACCAGUAAGGCAAUUCCAAUAAAAUCCUCAUUUUUUUCCUCCUGAAGUUGGCAAUAUAUUUUAAAGCUAUACCAGUAAAAUUUAAAACAUAAGAACAAUCAGGCAAUUAAAAAAAAGAAUUAGGGAGAAUAUUAGUGCUAAAUUAAUUGAAACAAUAAUGAACUGAAAAGAUCAUUGACCAUAAAACUCGGAAAUGGAUCCCAAGAUAUAAAAGAACUUUUAGUACAUUGAGCUCACAUCAAUGACAUUUUACUGAAUACCUAUGUGCCAGGUGAUUUGUUAACAGAAAAGUAAACUGGUGUAAUAUUUUCAGAAAGCAAUCUGACAAUAUGUAUUAAGAACUGUAAAAGAGCUUAUAUCCUCUUAGUAAAUGUACUUCCAGAAUAUAUUCUAAGGGGGUGGUCAGACAUUAGUUUAAGUAUUUAUACAUAGAGAUGUUCAUUAUAGGGUUAUUUAUCAUAGCAAAAAACCUAGCAAAAAUAGAAUUAAUAAAUUAUGGCAUAUCUAUACAAUGGAAUAAUAUAUACCCAUUAACGUUAUGUUUGAAAACAUUCACGUGUUCACACAAUAGAAUAUUAUAAAACAAAUAAUCAACUACACCUGCAUAUAAUGUGGGUGAAUUUCACAAUCAUUUAAUGAAAUGAGCAAGACACAAAAUGUAUACAAUGUAGGACUGCAUUUACAUGCAUUUCUUACACAUAAAACAAUCUAUGCUUCAAGAAGUCAGGAUACCUUUGGAGAGUUGGGUAAAAUGACAGAAAAUGGUGGUGGGUUGGGGGAUAUUCUAGGAUUCUGUAAUUUCUAUUUCUUGAUCUAGAUGGUAAUGACAUAUGAAAAAUCAUUGAAAUUUAAAUUUGUUUCUGUAUGCUAUUCUAUAUACAUUCUAUAUGUUCUGUAUGCCAUUCAUCAAUAAGAAGGGUUUAAAAAUUCAUGACAUGAAAAAAUGUCCACAAUAUUAAAGCAGGAAGAAAAGCAUGCCACAAAACUGUGCAUGAAUUAUAGUCUCAGUUUUGUGAAUUAAACAAUAGCACAGAAAAAUCGCUAGAAGGAAAUCGGCUGUUGGGGGUAUAAGCAAGGGAUUGUGGAGGAUUAGAGGAGCUGGUGGAAAACAGAAAAAGACCCCAGUGGUGUCAUUUAUUAGGAAAGCUUGGUUUGGAGAAGAGAUGGUGGUGGCUGAGGGUGUGUGGAGUAAAGGGGGAACCUGUUUAAAUUCUGAGGGAAAGGAGUCAACAGAGAAAAAAACAUACAGGAAAUAAACCAAAAAAGAGCCAAUGACGCCUCUUAACAGGCUGGUGAGUAUGCACGAAAGAGGCAAACUCAAAAGAAGGGGUAAAAAGGGCUGCUGUAUGCACACAGAACAGGUCCUUUUUCCUAGAGUUUUGUAAAUUUAACAUAUCAAGAAGCUUGUCAAUUUUCCACUCCAGGUACAACCACUUGCAUUCUUCAUGAAGCCUUCAGAUGAUCCCAUUAUCUGGACCAGGAGAUUGCUCUAAGAGCUUUAGCCAGAGGAUAAUCUAUCUUUCUCUUCAAAUACUUCAGGCCAAAAUAAAGACCGGGUCAAGCAUAGUGACAGCAGGUCGCACAGCAAGUACAUUUCUACCACAUGUUUGCUGUGUAAUUUGGGGCAAGUUAUUUAACCUCACUGUGUGUGAAUGGUUUCAUUUGAGAAAUGAUAAAGACAAUAACAGGUUGAUAAGAGGCUUAAAUGAGAUCAUCCACAUAAAAUGCCCAACAUCAGAGGAAACCCUCAAUAAUUAUAAAUUGCUAUCAUCAUUUUUUCUUAAUCUGGGGGCAGAGUUUUUAAGAUGUCUUCAGAUCUAGAAAUAGCAAAACAAAAACUAAGAACAUAAUGGGUGAUGAAGACCAACUAAUUCAAGGUAAAUAAUUUCAGGAGUGAAUAUGCUUUCUCUCAACUUUUUAUUUUAAAACAAGUUAAAUCAAUAGAAAAUCUGAUCCUUUGCCCACAGGCUGGCAUUCUGCCCAACCCUCAAGGCCCUGGGGCCUCAGUAAUGUUUCCCUUUUACCCUUCACCUUUAUUAACCAACUGUUAAAUUUUGCCCUAUUUUCUUUCUCUUUCUCUCUCUCUCUCUCUCUCUCUCUCUCUCUCUCUCUUGCCUACAAACUCAUAUACACAACCAGUGUUGGAGAAGCCAAGACUCUAAUCUGUAGGCUCAUUAUGGAGGAGGGUACAUUCCAUCUUCUUGUCUGGUGUACAAACAGCCUUUUUCAGAGAUUCUGAUUUAACACAUAAGACCUAAUGUAAUACUAAGGCUGCAUUAAUUGGGAGAACCAAUGCGGGAUAACACACUUAUAGCAGAUAAGAAGGUAUUUGGGGCAAUACCCCCUGGGGAAAGACAAAGGGCUUAGAGCUCUAGUCUAGGUCUGUGAAUAAGGAGAAACCAAAGGCUUUCAGAAACAGGCAAGGAAGCCUGACAGAACUGGGUCAGGGGGAGAGUGAGACCUGGCUUUGGGAAAUACCCCUGUGUGUGCACAUGGGCAUCUCACCCUCAGCUCUAUGGAAAAGAACACAGAUGCAGUGGGUCUCCACUCCAUUUUUAGGCAUCCAAGUUAUCAUAUACAUCUGGUAGGGAAGCAGAAAAUCCAAAGGACACUAAACAUUUUGUCUCCAAUAAUUACACUUCUGGAAACUUAUUCCACAUAUAUUAGGCUCAACUGCAUAAAAUUUUUUUCUAGAGUAAAAAAGUCAGUAUGGGCAAUUUCACAUAUUCACAUAUAUUUGUUCAUGUAAAAAAUGACAUACGUAUAAGGAUAUUCCCUCCAGUACUGUUUACAAAAGUGGAAGUCUGGAAAUACCUAGUAUAUAAAUAUUAUGUAUAUGUGUGUAUGUGUGCAUGAACACAGGUGUGUGUGUAUUAUGUAACUGUCUCUAAAUGUAUGUAUAGAAUAUAUGUAUUUAAAGACAUAAUGGAAUAUUAUGCAACUGUCAAAAAGAAUUUAGCGGCUCUCUGCAUAUCACCUUCAAAAUUUAAGACACUGUUAAGCGAAAUAUGUAAAAUAUUCAAUAUAGUAAACUAUCUUUUGGAUAAUAACAAGGAGGAGAGGGACACUUGGGUGGCUCAAUUGGUUAAGUAUCUGCUUUGAGCUCGAGUCAUGAUUCCUGGGUCCUGGGAUCAAGUCCCGCAUUGGGAUCCUUGCUGAGUGAGUAGUCUGCUUCUCCCUCUGCCUGCUGCUCCCUCUGCUUAUAUGCUUUCUGUCUCUGACAAAUUUUUUAAAAAGCGGAGGAGCAUAAAAAAAUAUAUUUGCAUUUGCUUAUAUACGUAUGAAGAAACUCUGGAGGAAUACACAAGAAAUUAAUAAUUGUUGGGGCGCCUGGGUGGCUCAGUGGGUUAAGCCUCUGCCUUUGGCUCGGGUCAUGAUCCCAGGGUCCUGGAAUCGAGCCCCGCAUCAGGCUCUCUGCUCAGCGGGAAGCCUGCUUCCUCCUCUCUCUUCUGCCUGCCUCUCUGACUACUUGUGAUCUCUGUCAAAUAAAUAAAUAAAAUCUUUAAAAAAAUUAAUAAUUGUUUACUUUUGAGGAAGUACGAACUGUGAAGUAGAAGAAAUCUUUGGGAGAUGACUUUUCAUUGCUUCCUUUGUUAUGUAUUUUUAACCAUGUGUAUGUAUUAUCUAGUCAGAAAAAUUUAAGUAAGAAUCUUGGAGAAAAAAGUUAAGAUAUUCGAUGUUCAGAUGGGGAACCAGCAAUUGGAAAAUGAUUCUUGAUGCGUUUUCUAUCUACAACAAUGCAACAUUAAGUUGUAUGUAUGAUUUUAUCUCAAUAAAAUCAGUUUCUAGA